This 460-nucleotide ribosomal RNA is filed under the name uncultured bacterium. Its description in RNAcentral is "partial 16S ribosomal RNA". It matches the Rfam family "Bacterial small subunit ribosomal RNA", at positions 338 to 795 of the family's 1533-position model. The record is from RNAcentral.
CCUACGGGAGGCAGCAGUGAGGAAUAUUGGUCAAUGGGCGCUAGCCUGAACCAGCCAAGUAGCGUGAAGGAUGACUGCCCUAUGGGUUGUAAACUUCUUUUAUAUGGGAAUAAAGUGCAGUAUGUAUACUGCUUUGCAUGUACCUUAUGAAUAAGGAUCGGCAAACUCCGUGCCAGCAGCCGCGGUAAUACGGAGGAUUCGAGCGUUAUCCGGAUAUAUUGGGUUUAAAGGGAGCGUAGGCGGGUUGUUAAGUCAGUUGGGAAAGUUUGCGGCUCAACCGUAAGAUUGCAGUUGAUACUGGCAUCCUUGAGUACAGUAGAGGUAGGCGGAAUUCGUGGUGUAGCGGUGAAAUGCUUAGAUAUCUCGAAGAACACCGAUGGCGAAGGCAGCUUGCUGGACUGUAACUGACGCUGAGGCACGAAAGUGUGGGUAGCAAACAGGAUUAGAUACCCCUGUAGUC